This 546-nucleotide ribosomal RNA is filed under the name Triticum aestivum (bread wheat). RNAcentral describes it as "partial small subunit ribosomal RNA". Lineage: Eukaryota; Viridiplantae; Streptophyta; Magnoliopsida; Poales; Poaceae. The record is from RNAcentral.
AUGAUGGAUGCUGCCACAUUUCAGAUGCCUUGUGCCUUGAGACAGUUAUUUGCGACUAUACUGGUAUUCUGUGAGGCUACAGAAAUACGUCAGAUGUGGGACAAACAUCUGGCAGCGAUGUCCGAGGACUACCGGCGUAAUCAAUCCAAUGAGGCAAUACUUGAGCAGAUGGUCCUCAGAGAUAUCAGGGAUAUGUUGCAAUCCAUGGGAAAGGAUAUUACAAACUAUGGACUUCCGGAAUUGGUUGACACCGAUGGUUCUUAUGACGGUGUGUACAGAGAGGUAACAGAGGAGAGGCAAAUCAGCAUGGACAAAGAACAUCUAGAAUUAUUUACCAGUUUGAACAGUGAGCAGCUCGCUAGUUUCAAUCACAUAAUGGAUCAUGUGGUCAACCAAACAAGUCAGUCCAGGUUCAAAAUACCAAUCAAGCUCACUAACAACAACAUGUGUAGUUUCACAAAGCAGAGUGGUACAGCUGUGUUGCUUAAGCAAGCGUCCUUGAUAAUUUGGGAUGAAGUUGCUAUGAUAAAACAUCAAGUAGUUUAG